GACGUAGGGCGCGAGCGUGUCCGGAAUUAUUGGGCGUAAAGGGUGCGUAGGCGGUUUGGUAGGUCUUAUGUGAAAUCUACAGGCUCAACUUGUAGUCUGCAUGAGAAACUGCCGGGCUUGAGUAUGGGAGAGGUGAGUGGAAUUCCUGGUGUAGCGGUGAAAUGCGUAGAUAUCAGGAGGAACACCUGUGGCGAAAGCGGCUCACUGGACCAUAACUGACGCUGAUGCACGAAAGCUAGGGGAGCAAACAGG
This 252-nucleotide ribosomal RNA is filed under the name uncultured bacterium. RNAcentral's name for it is "partial 16S ribosomal RNA". It matches the Rfam family "Bacterial small subunit ribosomal RNA", at positions 524 to 776 of the family's 1533-position model. The record is from RNAcentral.